Molecule: long non-coding RNA, 969 nt
Filed under: Astyanax mexicanus (Mexican tetra)
Lineage: Eukaryota; Metazoa; Chordata; Actinopteri; Characiformes; Acestrorhamphidae
Description: lncRNA (ENSAMXG00005021227.1)
Source: RNAcentral
CGGGACAAAAGCGAUGUGCUGGCACCUGUGUUUAACUCUAUUAUAAUGCGUGCUGAAGGUUGUGGCACUAAUGUCAGUGACCUGUGUGGCCCAUCCAUCAAGACAUGCGUGUGUGCUGACAGCGCGGUGCGUCUGGGGCCUCGCAGGAUUCUGCUCGGGCUGCAGCGCGGAGCAGAGCGAUGAGAGACGUCGCUCUAACCCCGCCUGCAGUCCGACACCAUUACCCCUGUGACUUAUGGAGGAUCGGCCCUGACUGAACACUGUUGUUCCCCCUGGUGGGCAGCUCGGCGGACACAGCCCUUCACGUUCUGUUAGCGUGCUCAUGGCUCUAGUGGAAGAACGGGGCUCUCUUUUGUUCCUCCAUCUUCACAGCCAUGGCGAGCUCAUCAGUCUUCCCUGUCUGGCUACAGGGGUUGGCUGUUUCAGCAGGCAUUAGGCUACAGUGCAAGGCUUUGCUCAGUCUGAGUGAAAGUGGUGGUGGGUCUGGAGCCUACAUGGAAACACUGGACACAAAGCAGGAAUGACUCCUGGACAUGUGCCCACAGGGCGGCUGGCCGGAUCACUGAUCUGCAGAUGCCUCAGAGGAGCGAGUGACUCACAGACCCGGCUCAUUUCUCCUAGCCUGACACCAAAUCAGUCCAGUGCACCUCCUCACAAGGACACCAGGAGACAGGCCUGCCUUCAGGAGAUGGGAUUAAGGUAGCGUGACAAUCGUGGAUUAAAGACACUUUCAGCCAAUCCCACCGCACUCACAGGGUCGUGGGUCAGGGUUCUGGAGUCAUAUGAUGCAAUGCAGAAAUCCAUGGAGGACAAGAUACCAGUCCAUUACAGGACACCACACAAAAGGCCCUCAUGAAGUUUAGUUUAGUAAGUUUCAGUAAUAUUCAGUUUACUAAAACUGUUUUACCAUUUUUUUCAUUUUGAUGUAAUUGUGAGGAAACUGAAUAAAGGUUUUAAGGACCAUAAUCA